RNAcentral lists this transfer RNA (85 nucleotides) under Clostridia bacterium. RNAcentral describes it as "tRNA-Leu". It matches the Rfam family "tRNA". From Rfam's summary of the family: Transfer RNA (tRNA) molecules are approximately 80 nucleotides in length. The record is from RNAcentral. Lineage: Bacteria; Bacillati; Bacillota; Clostridia.
GCGAGAGUGGCGGAACUGGUAGACGCGCACGUUUGAGGGGCGUGUGAAGCAAUUCAUACGGGUUCAAGUCCCGUUUCUCGCACCA